UGCCAAGAAACUCCUCCCCAACCUCCUCGUGGUACUGGCCGGGCUACGAGUAACCUUGGAGAACUUUAGUCGUAUGAUGACAAGAAAGG
This 89-nucleotide ribozyme is filed under the name Aedes aegypti (yellow fever mosquito). RNAcentral describes it as "drz-agam-1 ribozyme". It matches the Rfam family "drz-agam-1 ribozyme". Lineage: Eukaryota; Metazoa; Arthropoda; Insecta; Diptera; Culicidae. The record is from Rfam by way of RNAcentral.